Molecule: ribosomal RNA, 372 nt
Filed under: uncultured organism
Description: partial 16S ribosomal RNA
Rfam family: Bacterial small subunit ribosomal RNA
Source: RNAcentral
GUAGGUGGCAAGCGUUGUCCGGAAUUAUUGGGCGUAAAGCGCGCGCAGGCGGUUCUUUAAGUCUGAUGUGAAAGCCCACGGCUCAACCGUGGAGGGUCAUUGGAAACUGGAGAACUUGAGUACAGAAGAGGAAAGCGGAAUUCCACGUGUAGCGGUGAAAUGCGUAGAGAUGUGGAGGAACACCAGUGGCGAAGGCGGCUUUCUGGUCUGUAACUGACGCUGAGGCGCGAAAGCGUGGGGAGCAAACAGGAUUAGAUACCCUGGUAGUCCACGCCGUAAACGAUGAGUGCUAAGUGUUAGGGGGUUUCCGCCCCCCUUAGUGCUGCAGCUAACGCAUUAAGCGCUCCGCCUGGGAGUACGGCCGCAAGGCUG